RNAcentral lists this ribosomal RNA (292 nucleotides) under uncultured bacterium. RNAcentral describes it as "partial 16S ribosomal RNA". It matches the Rfam family "Bacterial small subunit ribosomal RNA", at positions 505 to 796 of the family's 1533-position model. The record is from RNAcentral.
GUGCCAGCCGCCGCGGUAAUACAGAGGUCUCGAGCGUUCAACGGAUUCAUUGGGCUUAAAGCGUACGUAGGCGGAUGUGCAGGCGUCGUGUGAAAGCCCUCGGCUCAACCGAGGAAUUGCACGGCGAACCGCAUGUCUUGAGACAAGUAGGGGCGGUCGGAACGAUAGGUGGAGUGGUGAAAUGCGUUGAUAUCUAUCGGAACGCCGAUGGUGAAGACAGGCCGCUGGGCUUGUUCUGACGCUGAGGUACGAAAGCAUGGGGAGCGAACGGGAUUAGAUACCCUCGUAGUCC